This 253-nucleotide ribosomal RNA is filed under the name uncultured bacterium. RNAcentral describes it as "partial 16S ribosomal RNA". It matches the Rfam family "Bacterial small subunit ribosomal RNA", at positions 524 to 776 of the family's 1533-position model. The record is from RNAcentral.
UACGUAGGGGGCAAGCGUUGUCCGGAAUCAUUGGGCGUAAAGCGCGUGUAGGCGGCCCGAUAAGUCCGCUGUGAAAGUCCAGGGCUCAACCCUGGAAUGCCGGUGGAUACUGUCGGGCUCGAGUCCGGAAGAGGCGAGUGGAAUUCCUGGUGUAGCGGUGGAAUGCGUAGAGAUCCGGAAGAACACCGGAGGCGAAGGCGGCUUGCUGGGCGUGAUCUGACGCUGAGGCGCGAAAGCGUGGGGAGCGAACAGG